This is a long non-coding RNA of Falco peregrinus (peregrine falcon), 1015 nucleotides long. RefSeq lists it as uncharacterized. The transcript is spliced from 5 exons. Lineage: Eukaryota; Metazoa; Chordata; Aves; Falconiformes; Falconidae. The record is from RefSeq and is a predicted model, not a curated record.
GGUUCCCAUGAGCCCCCGCGCCUCCCGUCAGCCCCGGCGCUGGCCCCACCCCUGCGCCGGCGCGUCCGGACAAGACGGCUGCGGGUGUUUCAGAGCGUGGCAUGGUGUCAAGCAACAGUAAAAACACUCACCUGCCUGGGAAGGCAAUUCCUUCGCUGGACUGACAGCAAACCUGCACCAGGUGCACAAUAGUGAGAAACACCAGCAUCUAUCUUGUCAGUCUAGUUUUCUCCUCUUGCUGAGCUGAUGGAAAAGUGGUGAAGAAGAAAUGAGUGGAGGACAAACAUAAUUUGAAGUACUGUUGCUAACUGUUCAAUGCAACUCUUAUUUAAGAGGAAAUCAUGCUGCAGAAUCUUGGGGUUGUACUGUUGCUCAAAGACAUCUUUGGCAAGAGGGCAGCUGCUAAGCUGGGCUUCAGGCUGAGUUUGCAUUUGUUUGCAGAAGAUCAAUAACAUUCACUGACAGGCUGAACCAGACGACUUGACAGCAGCGGACUUCCUAAGAAAUCAGGGUUAGUAGGCAGAAGGGGAAGGGAUGGUAGUGCACACCAGCCUGAGUCAGAGUUUGCUCUGUCAGUACAGCGGUGUUCCAAAUAGGACCAGUCACUGGGAAGAGUAUGUGGGGCUUUUGGCUUCCAAGGAGUAAAGGGGGAAAAAGGUGAAGAGGCAGCCUGAUGAUUAGGAAAAGUAAAAUCUGCUCAGUGCUUGGAGAAUAGAGAGGGGCAGGAAUUCUUUCAGAACAAGCUUUUUUAGGAAGAGUUACGGCAUUGUUUUGUGGUGUCUCCCAACUCUAGAAGCAGCAGAAGGAAGAUGGUUCUGGAGUGGGUCUCACAAAUGGCCCCCGAUAGGUCAUUUGAAACAGUGUAAAAUGGCCACCUGUGCAUAAGUGCAGGCCCCUCCGCGCUGCUCUGUGGUUGCUGCAACUGCAUGAAGGGACCUGAUCUAUAGCUGGUUGGAAGAAAAAGUGGUUCUCUGCUGUCCUCUGUUCAAGAAUAAAAUAAGUUCUUGUAAGCUAA